Molecule: non-coding RNA, 97 nt
Organism: Pyronema domesticum
Lineage: Eukaryota; Fungi; Ascomycota; Pezizomycetes; Pezizales; Pyronemataceae
Source: the annotation of a GenBank genome assembly
GAUUCAGUAGUGUAGGGGUAUCAUGAGCGCUUGCCAUCAAGGACUUCGGUCCUGUAGCAUUCUGCGCUCGACCCGGGUUCGAAUCCCGGCUGAAUCA